This 253-nucleotide ribosomal RNA is filed under the name uncultured bacterium. RNAcentral's name for it is "partial 16S ribosomal RNA". It matches the Rfam family "Bacterial small subunit ribosomal RNA", at positions 524 to 776 of the family's 1533-position model. The record is from RNAcentral.
UACAGAGGGUGCGAGCGUUAAUCGGAAUUACUGGGCGUAAAGCGUGCGUAGACGGUUACGUAAGUCAGAUGUGAAAGCCCCGGGCUCAACCUGGGAAUUGCAUUUGAGACUGCGUAGCUAGGGUGCGGAAGAGGGAAGCGGAAUUUCCGGUGUAGCGGUGAAAUGCGUAGAUAUCGGAAGGAACACCAGUGGCGAAAGCGGCUUCCUGGUCCAGCACCGACGUUCAGGCACGAAAGCGUGGGGAGCAAACAGG